CUUCAUCGAGCCCAGCCACAACGGCCGCUCGCGCCGCUGCCCGUAGGCGGCGAGCACCGCCUGGGCUUC
Molecule: antisense RNA, 69 nt
Filed under: Labedaea rhizosphaerae
Lineage: Bacteria; Bacillati; Actinomycetota; Actinomycetes; Pseudonocardiales; Pseudonocardiaceae
Description: Labedella sp. RS-49 ASpks TB sRNA
Rfam family: ASpks TB sRNA
Source: Rfam by way of RNAcentral